AAAACAUCGCCUCCUGCAACGCAACCAAGUAUAGGAGGUCCAGCCUGCCCAGUGACGAUAAGUUUAACGGCCGCGGUAUUUUGACCGUGCAAAGGUAGCGUAAUCACUUGUCUCUUAAAUGGAGACCUGUAUGAAUGGCCAAACGAGGGCUUAACUGUCUCCCCCUUCCAGUCAGUGAAAUUGAUCUAUCCGUGCAGAAGCGGGUAUAAUAAUACAAGACGAGAAGACCCUUUGGAGCUUAAGGUACAAAAAUCAACCACGUCAAGCAACUUUUUAAAGAGCAAAAACUUUGUGGAUUAUGACAUUUUUACCUUCGGUUGGGGCGACCACGGAGGAAAGAAGAGCCUCCAGGUGGACUGGGAAAAUACCCUAAAGCUAAGGGAGACAUCCCUAAGCCGCAGAACAUCUGACCAAACAUGAUCCGGCUAUUAAGGCCGAUCAACGAACCAAGUUACCCUAGGGAUAACAGCGCAAUCCUCUCCCAGAGUCCAUAUCGACGAGGGGGUUUACGACCUCGAUGUUGGAUCAGGACAUCCUAAUGGUGCAGCCGCUAUUAAGGGUUCGUUUGUUCAACGAUUAAAGUCCUACGUGAUCU
This 595-nucleotide ribosomal RNA is filed under the name Gymnodiptychus dybowskii. RNAcentral's name for it is "partial 16S ribosomal RNA". It matches the Rfam family "Bacterial large subunit ribosomal RNA", at positions 1810 to 2606 of the family's 2925-position model. Lineage: Eukaryota; Metazoa; Chordata; Actinopteri; Cypriniformes; Cyprinidae. The record is from RNAcentral.